Molecule: ribosomal RNA, 405 nt
Filed under: uncultured bacterium
Lineage: Bacteria
Description: bacterial SSU rRNA
Rfam family: Bacterial small subunit ribosomal RNA
Source: RNAcentral
UGGGGAAUAUUGCACAAUGGGCGAAAGCCUGAUGCAGCAACGCCGCGUGAAGGAUGAAGGCCUUUGGGUCGUAAACUUCUGUCCUUGGGGAAGAAAAAAAUGACGGUACCCCUGGAGGAAGUCCCGGCUAACUACGUGCCAGCAGCCGCGGUAAUACGUAGGGGGCGAGCGUUAUCCGGAAUUAUUGGGCGUAAAGAGUACGUAGGUGGUUUUUUAAGCGCAGGGUUUAAGGCGAUGGCUCAACUGUCGUUCGCCCUGUGAACUGGAAGACUUGAGUACAGGAGAGGAAAGCGGAAUUCCUAGUGUAGCGGUGAAAUGCAUAGAUAUUAGGAGGAACACCAGUGGCGAAGGCGGCUUUCUGGACUGUAACUGACACUGAGGUACGAAAGCGUGGGGAGCAAACAG